This 497-nucleotide ribosomal RNA is filed under the name uncultured bacterium. RNAcentral describes it as "partial 16S ribosomal RNA". It matches the Rfam family "Bacterial small subunit ribosomal RNA", at positions 28 to 507 of the family's 1533-position model. The record is from RNAcentral.
GACGAACGCUGGCGGCGUGCCUAAUACAUGCAAGUUGAGCGCUGAAGGCUGGUACUUGUACCAACUGGAUGAGCAGCGAACGGGUGAGUAACGCGUGGGGAAUCUGCCUUUGAGCGGGGGACAACAUUUGGAAACGAAUGCUAAUACCGCAUAAAAACUUUAAACACAAGUUUUAAGUUUGAAAGAUGCAAUUGCAUCACUCAAAGAUGAUCCCGCGUUGUAUUAGGUAGUUGGUGGGGUAAAGGCUCACCAAGGCGAUGAUACAUAGCCGACCUGAGAGGGUGGUCGGCCACAUUGGGACUGGGACACGGCCCAAGCUCCUACGGGAGGCAGCAGUAGGGAAUCUUCGGCAAUGGACGAAAGUCUGACCGAGCAACGCCGCGUGAGUGAAGAAGGUUUUCGGAUCGUAAAACUCUGUUGGUAGAGAAGAACGUUGGUGAGAGUGGAAAGCUCAUCAGGUGACGGUAACUACCCAGAAAGGGACGGCUAACUACGUG